RNAcentral lists this transfer RNA (60 nucleotides) under Graptopsaltria bimaculata. Its description in RNAcentral is "tRNA-Arg". Lineage: Eukaryota; Metazoa; Arthropoda; Insecta; Hemiptera; Cicadidae. The record is from RNAcentral.
AAGUAAAUACUACAUUACAUUUAGUUUCGACCUAAAAAUUAGAAUUAUUUUCCAUACUUA